This is a long non-coding RNA of Hylaeus volcanicus, 3056 nucleotides long. RefSeq lists it as uncharacterized. The record is from RefSeq and is a predicted model, not a curated record. NCBI's taxonomy places the organism in Eukaryota, Metazoa, Arthropoda, Insecta, Hymenoptera, Colletidae. The transcript is spliced from 3 exons.
AGGGUGAGCUUGCGAUCGCCGUCCAUGGAGAAGAUGUGUCGAGCUCCUCGCGGCAGGUCCAUCCGGAGGGACAGCCUAUCCAAGAGGGCCUCCAGAGAUCCGAUAUCUCGUCCGGGCUUGAACCUGCAAUUUCGUCGUGGGAGCGAUCAAGGCCAAGGGGGUGGACACGCCACCUGCAGCCGAGAAGGGUACUAGUACUAACGCGAGGUGUCGGAGGCUCGUGCAACCAGAUAGUCAGCGUAGAAGAGGGGAACUGCGUCGGUAGACUCACCUGAAUUCGAUACCAGGAAAGUAACAUCCCGAUUUCACGCAUCGUUGAAAAGAACAGCACCGUUCGUCGAGCCUAACUGCCCCGAAAUAUUCGAGGUCUGUGCACCGAACUACACGUGUGCGUUGACCGACGUACGAUGACCGAACGGUGACUCGAUAACGUUUAUUAGGAAAACCCGUACAGGUGGUGUGUCCAGAGAGUCGACAGAGGCGUUUUGCGUGCAGAAGAUUGCGAUUUCUCGGAAGGAUUUCGUAUUUAAACAUUUCGAGCGUACAAGCGUGGCGCAUUUGCAUAGCCAGCGAAAUCUCGACUUCAUAAAUUUAAAACGCUACAACGACGGCCAAUUACAAUCUCGUCUGGAACGUUUGAGCCGUGAAACGCGUGUAGAAUCGACUUUUUGCCACCGUGACGGCUGUACAUAACCGACGGCACUUCGAUAAGUAUUGUCCGCGUGAAAUUUAAGCCCGACGGGGAAUAAUUAACCAAACGAGAUGCAGAAGUGGAGACAAAAAGAAGAAAGUAGAGCGGAACAAUUGUACAAUAUCGAAACGAAUUUUUUGAUAAUAGCGAUACUUACUUCUAAAAUAAUUUAAUCGGUCUUAGCCCAAUAUUCGUGUUUAUAAGCAGGUACUGUACGUUUUAUUUUCGCGUUUCAAUUUACUGAAAGCACACGCUACGACGUGACGUGUUCCACUUUUUUCUUUUCUUAUUUUUGUUAAUAAUACCGUGCCGUUUGCAUUUCUUCGCGAAAGAAACACCGCCUUAUCGGAUGGUAAGUAGGAUGAUUAGCGGCAUGAAGCUCAAGAAUUGCAGAAUGCACGAUACGAAUACUAGAUACAAAUGCCAAUUGCCGCAGAGGUCGAAUGAAACAGGCGAUAAUGUUCUCGCGAUCCGAGUCCAACUUCUCCUCUUAACGCGGAUUGAUCCUAGAAUAACUUGUGGUAUCGUUAGCGGUCUCUCCGGAAUGUCACGAAAAUACAAGAAACGCGCGUUUCCGAUUCUCGUAAACAAAACUAUCAAAUAAAAUGAUUGAAACUGUACGAUAAAAGGUUCGAGAUUCCAAGAACCAUCGCUUCCAUCCUAACGGAGAUUAUUUGUUACGCAGAGUAGGAAAUUACGGACAAUUUGUUGUAUCACGGCUGGUCAUCUUUAUAAUAUUUUCUUGGCACAGCGAAUAGUCGAUAGCACGGGUGAGGUUUGCGUGUUCCGUGUUCGCUAUGCGAAGGCGGCUGACCAGAUUCGUUCCUCGACCACUUAAGUAAUCGAGCGGCCGAGCGGCUCGUAUAUCACGUUGAGCGUGAAUCAGCAGGAUUCGUCGAACACCGAAUCCCAACUUUCCCUAAGGAUUGCUUCGAAUUCGGUAUCGAUUCGCUUGCUCGAAUCUUCUCUAACCCUUCCGCCUUCGAGUCCCUCCGCUUCAACCUGAAUUAAGAAGCAAGCAAUUUCAACGGACGACGUACAAGCGAAAGAAUUCGUAAACGAAUAAUUAACGAGGUGGUUCCGAUCAGUGUUUGCAACUCAAGUUCUUAGGGACUAUCGCAUUGAUUUUAAUGAUAAAGACCGUUAGGAAAAAGAAAAGCAACGUUCCGGAUUCGACGGAUUCAUCGGCUUUCCUAGCUGUGAAAAGAGAAAGGCGGAAAAGGCAAACACCUUCCCUUCGGUAUCGACUUUGCUGUAAAGCUGGAAGAGGCCGUUGCCCGAAAGCCUGUGCCUGACCGCUCUUUUUCCUUUCCAACUCGAGAAAGCGUCGUAAAACGUCGUGACCGAUGCAGAUAAGAAAGUCUCGACGAUAUCCGAGCUUUCCCUUCCCUCUUCCACUUCAUCGUAGACCCGCCUCCGUUCCGUCAUAAAUGUCACGAAGGUGCGUGCUUGAAAUCCUGAAUUUAAUCGUCGCUCGUUAUUAAGCAAACACGGAGGGGUGUAAAGAGCAAUGGGCAUUUUAGGCUUUUUCUCGUGCCGAGAUGCGUCUCGUUUCUUCGAGGAACUCCUCAGCAGCCAAGGCGAUUUCCAAAUCUCGGAACGCAAGAAUAUCGAGACAAAAUCGAGUUCGUCACACAAAAAUCAAUUAUUUUUAACGUACUUGCAGCACUUCCAAAAAAUUAACAACCCUCUCUCUUAUUUAAUAGCAUCUAACCCAUUUACCUAAUAACAGCGCAAGCAUGCAAGCUCUACCUGUAUAAUUAUCAUUGCAGCGUUAUCACUCGAAUAUUACACCCAAUCCAUAAGACGGAGUUAUCAGGUAUGAUCUGGAACACAGCUAGCGUUUAUCGAGAGACAUCCAAGACCUUGUACGUCAGAGUCGACAAAGCAUAGAACCAUUAAUGCGGAAUACAUUUCGUCGUAAAGCAAGAUAAGCACGGUACAUGGCACAAGGAUAUUUUUCAUCGCGCAUCGAGGAAACAUCGUGUACAUACAUCAUAAGGAUUAUCAAAAACGUCUCAACGAUAUCCUCGGUCCUAACGCGAUGCUAUUCGUGCGGAGAUUUUUAUAUUUGAAACUUUUCACUUUUCCGUGUUACCAGUCCAUGAAAAACGAUACAAUAUCAAAUUAAUAGAAACACAAAUUACUGUUGGUAUUUGCUAGUUGGUCCAUCAGGAAACACCUAAUAAUUAUAUGAUCAACGUUUAACCAAAUACCAUUAUCGGUACAUUUAAGAAAGCAUCAUUUGCUUGAUCUUGUUUUUCAUUUCAGACAAUGUCUAAAUGUCCUCGCCAGGGCACAUUUUGCGAACCUCGGCCGAAGGACAACACCUCCGAGUCUUUGGUGCCGUGCGUGCUUGGGAUUU